Molecule: ribosomal RNA, 1030 nt
Filed under: unidentified
Also listed under: 1 other name
Description: bacterial SSU rRNA
Rfam family: Bacterial small subunit ribosomal RNA
Source: RNAcentral
UGAGGAAUAUUGGUCAAUGGGCGCGAGCCUGAACCAGCCAAGUCGCGUGAGGGACGACGGUCCUACGGAUUGUAAACCUCUUUAGGCGGGGAGUAAUGUGCUCUACGAGUAGAGUAGUGAGAGUACCCGCAGAAUAAGCAUCGGCUAACUCCGUGCCAGCAGCCGCGGUAAUACGGAGGAUGCGAGCGUUAUCCGGAUUUAUUGGGUUUAAAGGGUGCGCAGGCUGUGCAUCAAGUCAGCGGUAAAAUCUCGGGGCUCAACCCCGUUUAGCCGUUGAAACUGGUGUGCUGGAGUGUGCGCGAGGAAGGCGGAAUGCGCGGUGUAGCGGUGAAAUGCAUAGAUAUUGCGCAGAACUCCGAUUGCGAAGGCAGCCUUCCAGUGCAUGACUGACGCUGAGGCACGAAAGCGUGGGUAUCGAACAGGAUUAGAUACCCUGGUAGUCCACGCAGUAAACGAUGAAUACUAUCUUUCCGUCGCGCCUGAGCGGGGGGAGGACAAGCGAAAGCGUUAAGUAUUCCACCUGGGGAGUACGCCGGCAACGGUGAAACUCAAAGGAAUUGACGGGGGCCCGCACAAGCGGAGGAACAUGUGGUUUAAUUCGAUGAUACGCGAGGAACCUUACCCGGGCUCAAACGCUGCUAGAUCGGUGUGGAAACACGCCUUCCCUUCGGGGCUGUCAGCGAGGUGCUGCAUGGUUGUCGUCAGCUCGUGCCGUGAGGUGUCGGCUUAAGUGCCAUAACGAGCGCAACCCCCAUCUCCAGUUGCCAUCGGUUCAAGCCGGGCACUCUGGAGAGACUGCCGGCGCAAGCCGUGAGGAGGGCGGGGAUGACGUCAAAUCAGCACGGCCCUUACGUCCGGGGCGACACACGUGUUACAAUGGCGGAGUUACAGCGGGAAGCCAGGCGGCGACGUCGAGCUGAUCCCGAAAAUCCGUCUCAGUUCGGAUCGGAGUCUGCAACCCGACUCCGUGAAGCUGGAUUCGCUAGUAAUCGCGCAUCAGCCAUGGCGCGGUGAAUACGUUCCCGGGCCU